This 404-nucleotide ribosomal RNA is filed under the name Actinomycetes bacterium. RNAcentral describes it as "Actinobacteria bacterium partial 16S ribosomal RNA". It matches the Rfam family "Bacterial small subunit ribosomal RNA", at positions 355 to 776 of the family's 1533-position model. The record is from RNAcentral. Lineage: Bacteria; Bacillati; Actinomycetota; Actinomycetes.
UGGGGAAUAUUGGACAAUGGGCGCAAGCCUGAUCCAGCCAUGCCGCGUGAGUGAUGAAGGCCCUAGGGUUGUAAAGCUCUUUCACCGGUGAAGAUAAUGACGGUAACCGGAGAAGAAGCCCCGGCUAACUUCGUGCCAGCAGCCGCGGUAAUACGAAGGGGGCUAGCGUUGUUCGGAUUUACUGGGCGUAAAGCGCACGUAGGCGGACUAUUAAGUCAGGGGUGAAAUCCCGGGGCUCAACCCCGGAACUGCCUUUGAUACUGGUAGUCUUGAGUUCGAGAGAGGUGAGGGGAAUUCCGAGUGUAGAGGUGAAAUUCGUAGAUAUUCGGAGGAACACCAGUGGCGAAGGCGGCUCACUGGCUCGAUACUGACGCUGAGGUGCGAAAGCGUGGGGAGCAAACAGG